RNAcentral lists this ribosomal RNA (399 nucleotides) under uncultured bacterium. RNAcentral's name for it is "bacterial SSU rRNA". It matches the Rfam family "Bacterial small subunit ribosomal RNA", at positions 976 to 1380 of the family's 1533-position model. The record is from RNAcentral.
AAGUCUUGACAUCCCGAUGACCGGUGCAGAGAUGUGCCUUUUCUUCGGAACAUCGGUGACAGGUGGUGCAUGGUUGUCGUCAGCUCGUGUCGUGAGAUGUUGGGUUAAGUCCCGCAACGAGCGCAACCCUUACGGUUAGUUGCUACGCAAGAGCACUCUAGCCGGACUGCCGUUGACAAAACGGAGGAAGGUGGGGACGACGUCAAAUCAUCAUGCCCCUUAUGACUUGGGCUACACACGUACUACAAUGGCAGUCAUACAGAGGGAGGCAAUACCGCGAGGUGGAGCAAAUCCCUAAAAGCUGUCCCAGUUCAGAUUGCAGGCUGCAACCCGCCUGCAUGAAGUCGGAAUUGCUAGUAAUCGCGGAUCAGCAUGCCGCGGUGAAUACGUUCCCGGGCC